This is a long non-coding RNA of Alligator mississippiensis (American alligator), 662 nucleotides long. RefSeq lists it as uncharacterized. NCBI's taxonomy places the organism in Eukaryota, Metazoa, Chordata, Crocodylia, Alligatoridae. The transcript is spliced from 2 exons. The record is from RefSeq and is a predicted model, not a curated record.
CUGGCAGGCAUUAUGAAACUACAAGCAAGUACCCCAGGCAGCAGCUUGGUGAUUUCUCUUGGAGAUACGAGGAAGACUGACACUGAGCGCGACUGGAAGCGACAGGUGAUGAAAGAGGAGGAGAAUGAAAGUGACUGUUGUAACAAAGCCUUUGAAUUAACAGCAGAUGAAAAGAAAACUGAACUAAUUCAAGGCUAAGACACACUGGUAAUAUUUAUCUGUGCAAUGGAAAAGAAACAGUAGAGGAGACAAUAAAACAGAGUAUUGAUCCUGAAAGCCACACUAUGGAUUCCUUUUGGAAAACAGUGUAAGGAUGGAAGGUACAGGUAAAGAAUAAAAGAACAAGGCCCCGCAGGAGAUGAUUCGGAGUUGCAUGAUAUUGCCAGCCUUGGCUGUGACAAAAUGAAUAUACGCUCUUCCCCUGCUUCCUAUGAGCUGGACUUUCACAAGUUCUAUCUACACUGUAAACAAAUUCUCUUCAGAUGACUAGGCCCAAACCAGGCUUUAGCUGUUAAGAUCUAGCAAGAUAAUAACCUGAGCUGAUAAAUCAGUCACAGAACUAUAGCAACAGGGUAAAUUUCCUACUGCUGUGUCAGACAGUUCUAUCACAUCCAAUUUGAUUAAACUGAAGUUGGCAAGAAGUGAUUAAAAAAAUAACCUGA